Molecule: ribosomal RNA, 422 nt
Filed under: uncultured bacterium
Lineage: Bacteria
Description: bacterial SSU rRNA
Rfam family: Bacterial small subunit ribosomal RNA
Source: RNAcentral
GGGCCCGCACAAGCGGUGGAGCAUGUGGUUUAAUUCGAUGAUACGCGAGGAACCUUACCAGGACUUAAAUGUAAGUUGCAUGAUUCAGAAAUGAAUCUUUCUUCGGACUACUUACAAGGUGCUGCAUGGUUGUCGUCAGCUCGUGCCGUGAGGUGUCAGGUUAAGUCCUAUAACGAGCGCAACCCCUAUCGUUAGUUGCCAUCAAGUAAAGUUGGGAACUCUAGCGAAACUGCCGGUGCAAACCGAGAGGAAGGUGGGGAUGACGUCAAAUCAUCACGGCCCUUACGUUCUGGGCUACACACGUGCUACAAUGGUCGGUACAGAAAGCAGCCACUAUGCGAAUAGGAGCUAAUCUCAGAAAGCCGGUCAUAGUCCGGAUUGGAGUCUGCAACUCGACUCUAUGAAGCUGGAAUCGCUAGUAA